Molecule: long non-coding RNA, 294 nt
Filed under: Mustela putorius furo (domestic ferret)
Lineage: Eukaryota; Metazoa; Chordata; Mammalia; Carnivora; Mustelidae
Description: lncRNA (ENSMPUG00000030766.1)
Source: RNAcentral
AUGCAGAGUGUUUCUUCCCAGAAAGAUAACUGGAGUGAAGCGGCAACCCGGCCUCCUGAGCCCCACGCUCCCAGCCCCAGAGCCAGCCGUGCAGCCCUGCGAUGCGGAUUCCAGCCAGGCUAUAUCACCAUUCCAAUGUCGGACAUAGAAGGAAAUAAAGGAGCAGAUAAAUCUAACCUGUUGUAAUUAUGGAUACCUUUGGAAAUGGAAUAAGAGGAGAGUCACAUUGGGAAGCUUAGUUUUCUUUGGAGGUAAGAUGAGUAAGAUUCUUUCUUUAUAGACUUAAACAUUCUA